RNAcentral lists this ribosomal RNA (1233 nucleotides) under metagenome. Its description in RNAcentral is "bacterial LSU rRNA". It matches the Rfam family "Bacterial large subunit ribosomal RNA", at positions 1564 to 2808 of the family's 2925-position model. The record is from RNAcentral.
UGAGUACGAGAUGCUACGGCAUCGAAGCAGUCUAUGUCAUACUUCCAAGAAAAGCUUGCACUGUCAUAAACAAAGAAUGCCUGUACCAUAACCGACACAGGUGGGUAGGUAGAGUAUACUAAGGGGCGCGAGAUAACUCUCUCUAAGGAACUCGGCAAAAUGACUCCGUAACUUCGGGAGAAGGAGUGCCUUAUUUCUAAGGUUGCAAUAACAAGAUCCAAGCAACUGUUUACCAAAAACACAGGUCUCCGCUAAGUCGUAAGACGAUGUAUGGGGGCUGACGCCUGCCCAGUGCCAGAAGGUUAAAGAAGUUGGUUAGCAUUAGCGAAGCUGAUAACUGAAGCCCUGGUGAACGGCGGCCGUAACUAUAACGGUCCUAAGGUAGCGAAAUUCCUUGUCGGGUAAGUUCCGACCCGCACGAAAGGCGUAAUGAUUUGGAUACUGUCUCGGAGAGGGGCUCGGUGAAAUAGACUUGUCUGUGAAGAUGCGGACUACCUGCACCUGGACACAAAGACCCUAUGAAGCUUUACUGUAACUUGAGAUUGAAAUUGGACUUAUUUGCGCAGUAUAGGUGGGAGGCGUUGAGAAUAAUCUUGCGGGAUUGUUGGAGCCAUCAGUGAGAUACCACUCUUGUAAUGUUAGAUUUCUAACUUUGUAUCAUUAUCUGGUCAAAGAACAGUUUCAGGCGGGCAGUUUGACUGGGGCGGUCGCCUCCCAAAGGGUAACGGAGGCGCACAAAGGUUUCCUCUGAACGGGUAGAAAUCGUAUCUAGAGUGUAAAGGCAUAAGGAAGCUUGACUGUGAGACCUACAAGUCGAGCAGGGACGAAAGUCGGUCUUAGUGAUCUGACGGUGCUGAGUGGAAAGGCCGUCACUCAACGGAUAAAAGUUACUCUAGGAUAACAGGCUGAUCUCCCCCAAGAGUUCACAUCGACGGGGAGGUUUGGCACCUCGAUGUCGGCUCAUCGCAUCCUGGGGCGGUAGUCCGUCCCAAGGGUUGGGCUGUUCGCCCAUGAAAGCGGUACGCGAGCUGGGUUUAGAACGUCGUGAGACAGUUCGGUCCAUAUCCGGUGUAGGCGUUAGAAUAUUGAGAGGAGCCUUCUCUAGUACGAGAGGACCGAGAAGGACAUACCUCUGGUGUACCAGUUAUCGUGCCAACGGUAAACGCUGGGUAGCUAUGUAUGGAGUGGAUAACCGCUGAAAGCAUCUAAGUGGGAAGCCCACCUCAAGAUAAG